CUGCUGCGACCCGGCGUGCGGACGUGGGUGCGGCGCGUUUGUCUUUUGUCGACCGCGCGCGUGUGCGCGCAGUUCAAGAAGCCGGCGCAUGCGUGAGACCGUGUGCUGCACCGGUGCCGAGGCUGCGCAAGAGCCGUUCGUGUGGGCGUUGCGGUGCGUGCGUGCGUGCGCCGCUGC
RNAcentral lists this small nucleolar RNA (177 nucleotides) under Leishmania infantum JPCM5. The stretch from base 66 to 132 matches the Rfam family "Trypanosomatid snoRNA TB9Cs1H1". Lineage: Eukaryota; Euglenozoa; Kinetoplastea; Trypanosomatida; Trypanosomatidae. The record is from RNAcentral.